This 96-nucleotide transfer RNA is filed under the name Xylariaceae sp. FL1019. RNAcentral's name for it is "tRNA-Ile". It matches the Rfam family "tRNA". Rfam says of the family: Transfer RNA (tRNA) molecules are approximately 80 nucleotides in length. Their secondary structure includes four short double-helical elements and three loops (D, anti-codon, and T loops). The record is from RNAcentral. Lineage: Eukaryota; Fungi; Ascomycota; Sordariomycetes; Xylariales; Xylariaceae.
GGUCUGCUAGCUCAGUUGGUUAGAGCGUCGUACUAAUAUUCUAGCAAUAGAAUCUGAGUAAUGCGAAGGUCAUGAGUUCGACCCUCAUGUGGACCA